GCUUUUAAAGUAGAUAAGCAGUGGCAAGAUCACGUGAAGUAUAAAACCUACCAAACUGAAAUCAAACUUCACAACCUGAAUGCUGACACUUUCAAUGGACAAUACAGCUGUGAAGUGUUUACAACCGAGCUCAGACACUUGGAAGAAACAUCUGUCUCAGGAAUAGCUCACAGCACUGCAGCUCUCAGACAAGAAGUUAGUGUCACCGCUGUUGGAAUAGGCAUCGGUGUAACACUAUUCAUACUCAUUAUUUCAGUUAUUGCAUUUUGCAUAUUGAAAAGAAACAGAUCUGAACAAAUUGGAGAACCUGAUGGGCUCAAUCUGGCAGUAAAGGCAGAGACGAGUGAUCUGCCCAACGAAGAGACCCGCGAUCUGCUAGAAAACGGAGGGACGCACGAUCUGGCAGUAAAGGAAGAGACGAGUGAUCUGGCCAACGAAGAGACGCGCGAUCUGCCAGAAAACGGAGGGACACGCGAUCUGGCAGUAAAG
Long non-coding RNA from Clupea harengus (Atlantic herring), 489 nucleotides. RefSeq lists it as uncharacterized. The record is from RefSeq and is a predicted model, not a curated record. NCBI's taxonomy places the organism in Eukaryota, Metazoa, Chordata, Actinopteri, Clupeiformes, Clupeidae. The transcript has 4 exons.